Molecule: long non-coding RNA, 1290 nt
Filed under: Vulpes vulpes (red fox)
Lineage: Eukaryota; Metazoa; Chordata; Mammalia; Carnivora; Canidae
Description: lncRNA (ENSVVUG00000006379.1)
Source: RNAcentral
GGAUCUCUUCGUCUCCCAUAGAAAUAGUCCCACAGCAAUUUUAAACAUGUAAGGAGGGUAUAAAUAUCCCAGCUUUCCCGUAACUUUCUAGAAUUCUACAGAGCAAGCGGCACUCGCUAUGUUCGGACGAUGAACUCCUUCUAACCAAUCUCUCUGCUUAAGAACUAUACUAAUCACAGGCCUUUCUUUCAAAUUGAGAUUGGAAUUGAGAUUUUUCUCAAAGUUUUUAAGAAGGAUGUGCUUGCCUAUCCGAGGUAAUGUGCUUCCGGGCGCUGAACACUAGAGGGCAUCAUUCGGUGAAAGCCAGGAUUUGGGAGAGGGAGAAAGAGAAGGAAUUCCAUUGCUAAUGAAAGAAACUGAUUUUUUAGUGUGCACCCUUAUCUACCAUGAAGCAUUACCAUGGUAACUGCACCAGUUAAGAUGAUUGUAUAUUUAGGUCACAGUAUAAAAGAAGGAGCCUGAACAUGAGGGGGGGAAAAAAGGGAAGCAAAAUAAAGACAAGAAUAUAUGAAGUGUGGAAGGAGGCAAAGCAGCCAGAAACUCGCCCUUUGCUAAUCGCUGUUUCACGAAGUCACAUCAGGCCUCUCAGAAGAAAGGAGGAGAGUAAGUUCGAACUAAAAUUAAAAGUUGCCGUCGCAAUUCAGAACGGGAAAGCACCCUGACCUGAGCCAAAGGCAAUCUUAAUAAAUGAAGAGGAGCUCCUUCAGCAGCAAAACCACUGUCCUGGAAGUUGGGAGGUGUGAGCUCUUAGGCAGCUCUUGGUCAAUGCCUCAUGCUGGAAAAGCCUCUUCACCCACUUCAACACAUAGCAUGAGUUCAUCUGACAGAUAUCAACAUUGUCUUUCAUCCUUGUGCACCACACAAAAGAAAAUGUCAGUAUUGCAGAAGGUGGAAAGAACAUCGGCCAAAGUACCAGGAUCAGUUGCUGUUGAAGGCGCUCCUCCAAUGAGGUCUCCUCUGCUCCCUGAUUUGGCGGUUCUUCUGAGCAAAUAUGACAGCCUUUUCUUCUCCGGGCUCCUUUCCGCUCCUCCACGUCCAUCCCCAGAGCCUGGCUCUCCUUCUGCGGUUCCUACACCAGAACCUUCACAGCCAGCACCACCACCACCACCACCACCACCACCACCACCACCACCACCACCCAGUCCCAUUCCUGCAAGUACAUGAUUGCUGCAAAGGUGACAUGAACACCUUGCGAGGAGCACAAUGUUGCUUCUAGAUUGCCGAAGAUGCUUAAGAUCAGUUUUUCCAGGUGGGAAAAUGUUAGAAUAAAUCCGCUGUGCUCUGUGACCA